UCAGUCAGCAGAGGAAAGGAAAUCAACAGAGACUGUCAUAGUAACGGCGAGUGAAGUGACACCAGUUCAAAUUUGAAAUCUGAAUAACAGAGUUGUAAUUUGUAGAGCAUGUUUGUGCUUGAUAUAGUCAUCCAAAUACAUUGGAAUUUGUUGUCAUUGAGGGUGAUAGCCCCGUAAGUGAUGAUCUUAUAUUAGGCAAAUCAAACUGCAUCAAAGAGUCGAGUUGUUUGGGAAUGCAGCUCUAAAUGGGAGGUAAAUUCCUUCUAAAACUAAGUAUUAGCCAGAGACCGAUAGCGAACAAGUAGAGUGAUCGAAAGAUGAAAAGUACUUUGGAAAGAGAGUUAAAAAGUAUGUGAAAUUGUUGAAAGGGAACCAUUUGCAAUCAGAUUCAGGGAGUUGGCUCAUCCUGGUCUCAGGCCAUGGAGUGUACUGGCUGUUCUGGGCCAAUAUCAGUUUGGGUGAUAAGAAGCAGUUCAAGGGAAUGUGACUCAAUCUCAUUGAGUGUUAUAGCCCUAGUUCUAUCAUUGUCAUGCCCAGACUGAGGACUACAUUUUUAAGGAUAUUGGCAUAAUGGUUGUCAGUGACCCGUCUUGAAACACGGACCAAGGAGUCUAAUGUCUAUGCAAGUAUUUGGGUAUCAAGCCCAAAUGCAAAAUGAAAGUAAAUGUAGGUGGGAUCCUUUUGAUAUGAAGGUGCACCAUUGACCAAUCUAAAUGUUUUCGGAUGGAUUUGAGUAAGAGCAUAGCUGUUGGGACCCGAAAGAUGGUGAACUAUGCCUGCUUAGGCCGAAGUCAGGGGAAACCCUGAUGGAAGGUCGCAGCGGUUCUGACGUGCAAAUCGAUCGUCAAAAGUGGGUAUAGGG
RNAcentral lists this ribosomal RNA (862 nucleotides) under Polyandromyces coptosomalis. RNAcentral's name for it is "eukaryotic LSU rRNA". It matches the Rfam family "Eukaryotic large subunit ribosomal RNA", at positions 43 to 922 of the family's 3401-position model. The record is from RNAcentral. Lineage: Eukaryota; Fungi; Ascomycota; Laboulbeniomycetes; Laboulbeniales; Laboulbeniaceae.